This 731-nucleotide long non-coding RNA is filed under the name Elaeis guineensis (African oil palm). Its description in RNAcentral is "long non-coding RNA (EGUI_LNC078669)". The record is from RNAcentral. Lineage: Eukaryota; Viridiplantae; Streptophyta; Magnoliopsida; Arecales; Arecaceae.
CAAAUUAUGAUCCACUUAUUCAUUAUGAACCAGUUUUUAUCUGAUUUUUGCCUCAUUUUUUUGGGCACUAAUUGUACUUUAUUUAUUAUAGAAGCUUAAUUAUCUAUCUAAAGCAUCAGUUGUGUCUACCGUGGUCUGCCGGGUUUCUUAUACAGGGCCAUCCAUCUGUCAUCAAGUGGCACGUGCUGGCCAUGUUAAUUAAAUGGUGGUUAAAGGGUGACUAACUAGAGUUAUCUAGUUAACCACUCAAACAUGAGUUUAUCUCACUAACCACUAGAUCACUAAUUAAAAUAUUAUAAACCAAGUUAGAGUGUGAACAUCAAUAGUCAAAUAUAUUUGUGGUGGCAGGUAGCUGCCGGUUAUCCAAAUCCAGCCCAAAGGUCCACACGUGAUACAGGGCGGAGAUCAAAGCAGUCAGCAGUCAGCAGUCAACAGUCAACCGAUAGUCCGUACCCUUUCCUAGCUAAAUUCACGGUGACAAAGUGAGCUUUCUUUCCCGCCUUUCAACCUAUGCAUAAUGUUGUUACCUAUCCGCUCACCCCACCAACACAAAAGAAAAAAAAAUUUAAAUAAACUUAAACUACCAUUGUUGCAGCCAAUCCCCCAUCGCCCGAUCGCCGGUGUCGCAUACCUGUAAGAAAAAUCCUCACAGACCGAAGAUGCCUCCGACGAAGAUCCUUCGACGGUCAAAUCAGAGAGGAGACUAGGCAACAGUGAAAAAUCAAGGGCUC